Molecule: ribosomal RNA, 1707 nt
Filed under: Triticum aestivum (bread wheat)
Lineage: Eukaryota; Viridiplantae; Streptophyta; Magnoliopsida; Poales; Poaceae
Description: partial small subunit ribosomal RNA
Source: RNAcentral
AUGGCAUCCGGCUACAACAGCGUCAACGGCGAGAGCUCCUCCAACAAGAGAGGCGAAAGAGCCGGCCAGGGCUCCUGCAACAAGAGACGCGAAAUGGACGACAGCGACUGGAUGGAAGACGAUGGCGAGGAUUGCAUCUAUGAAUACGACGACGAUGAUGACAGCGGCAGCGUCUACGACGAUGAUGAAUACAUGAGCGACGCGGAGGAAACAAGGGUCCACGUCGCCCCAGUGACGUACGUCGUCCUAACCGAGGACGACGUCCUCAAACGGCAGGCGGAUGACACGGCCGGCAUCUCCGAGGUCCUCUCGAUCCCGCCCGCCUUCGCGGCCUUCCUCCUCCGGCGAUACAAGUGGAUGCCCUCUAACCUCCAGGACGACUGGUUCUCGGACGACCGCCGCGUCCGCGACGCCGCCGGCCUGCCGGCGGACGGCAGCGCCCCCGUCGCCACGGCGCUCAGCCCCAGGCCGCUCAUCUGCGCCAUCUGCUUCGACCGGUACCCCGCAGGUGCGACGAGAUCGGCGUCGUGCUCCUCCCACUUCUACUGCGAUGGCUGCUGGCGCGGGUACGUCGGUGCCGCCGUGGGCGACGGCCCCCGGUGCCUCUCGCUGCGGUGCCCGGACCCGGCCUGCUCCGCCGCCGUCGUCGGUGGCCUCGUCGACGCCGUGGCCGGGGCCGCCGACAGGGAGCGGUACGUGCGGUUCGCGCUUCGGUCGUACGUGGAGGAGAGCGGUGGCCGGAUCAAGUGGUGCCCCGGCGCCGGCUGUUCCCAUGCCGUCGAGUUCGUCGGCUGCGCCGGCUACGAUGCCACGGACGUGUUCUGCAAGUGCAGGCACGGCUUCUGCUGGAGCUGCGGCGAGGAGGCCCACCGGCCGGUGUCGUGUGGCACGGUGCGCGCGUGGCUGGCGAAGAACAAGUCCGACUCGGAGACGGCGAACUGGGUGCUGGCCAACACUAAGGUCUGCCCAAAGUGUCGGUGCGCGAUCGAGAAGAACAAUGGCUGCAACCACAUGAGCUGCCCCUGCGGCCACCACUUCUGCUGGCUCUGCUUCAAGCCGGCGGGGACGCAGGAGCACUACGCCUGCCAGGGCGACAUCUACCGGCCGAGGAGGGACACCACCAGCAGCAAGGCUGCCGGCGGCAGCAAGGCCGCCGUGGAGACCAAGGAGGAGGCGACAGCGCGGCAGGCCAGGGCGUCGCUGGACAGGUACCUGUUCCACUACGAGCGGUGGGCGGGCAACCUCAAGUCGCUGGAGAAGGCGCAUCAGGACAUGGACAAGCUGGAGAGGUCGGAGCUCGAGGAGAUGGCCGCGGCGGCCGGCGUCAAGGCGGUGACAGAGCUUGAGUUCGUGAUGGAGGCGUACAAGGAGAUCGUCUAUGGCCGGCGGGUGCUGCGGUGGGCGCACGCAUACGGCUACUACCUGGACCCGGAGCGCGACGGCAAGAAGCGCGAGCUGUUCGACUACCUGCAGGCCGAGGCCAACGCGUCACUGGAGCAACUGCACAAGUGCGCCGAGGUGGACAGGAAGAAGAUCUUCCCCUCCCAUGGCGAGGGCGAGGCCGCCGAUGUCUCGAUGGUGAAGAAGGUGUUCAAAGAUUACAGGGAUAAGAUGGUGAACUUGACCGUAGCGUCGCGGACCUUCAUGGGGAACCUUGUCAAGGCAUUUGAGACCAAUCUGCCCGAGGUCGGCAAAAUGAACUGGUGA